GAUGAACGCUGGCGGCGUGCUUAACACAUGCAAGUCGAACGAUGAAGCCCAGCUUGCUGGGUGGAUUAGUGGCGAACGGGUGAGUAACACGUGAGUAACCUGCCCUUCACUCUAGGAUAAGCCCGGGAAACUGGGCCUAAUACUGGAUAGGAACGUCUACCGCAUGGUGGGUGUUGGAAAGAAUUUCGGUCAUGGAUGGACUCGCGGCCUAUCAGCUUGUUGGUGAGGUAAUGGCUCACCAAGGCGACGACGGGUAGCCGGCCUGAGAGGGUGACCGGCCACACUGGGACUGAGACACGGCCCAGACUCCUACGGGAGGCAGCAGUGGGGAAUAUUGCACAAUGGGCGAAAGCCUGAUGCAGCGACGCCGCGUGAGGGAUGACGGCCUUCGGGUUGUAAACCUCUUUCAGUAGGGAAGAAGCGAAAGUGACGGUACCUGCAGAAGAAGCACCGGCUAACUACGUG
Molecule: ribosomal RNA, 465 nt
Filed under: uncultured bacterium
Lineage: Bacteria
Description: partial 16S ribosomal RNA
Rfam family: Bacterial small subunit ribosomal RNA
Source: RNAcentral